AUGUUCCCAGAAGAUUACAUGAUCCAUAGAAAAAGAUUGAUUAGAUUGUGGAUCGCUGAAGGGUUUAUUGAACAAAUUGGAGCAUGCAGUUUAGAAGAUGUUGCUGAAGGUUACCUGACAGAGCUCGUUCGGCGAAGCAUGCUUCAUGUGGUAGAGAGGAACAGUUUUAACAGGAUCAGGUGUCUUCGAAUGCAUGAUCUUGUCCGUGAAUUAGCCAUUUUCAAGUCUAGAAGAGAGAGUUUCAGUAUGACUUAUGAUGAUAGUCAUGAGGUGAUGCAGGUGGAGUCAGAUUCUCGUCGCUUGUCGGUGCUCCAAUGCGAAAAUGACAUUCAACCAAGCAUAGGUCAACGCAGGCUUCGUACCUUCUUAGCAUUUAGCACCAGCAUGGCAUCAUCUUCUUUGUUUCGCUCUGAAUCUAAGUACCUUGCUGUGUUGGAGCUAUCAGGAUUACCUAUUAUGACUAUUCCAAAUUCAGUUGGGGAGCUAUUCAACCUGAGAUAUUUGGGCCUCGAUGACACCAAGGUGAAGGUACUCCCAAACUCUGUAACAAACCUUCACAACUUAGAAACACUAAGUCUCCAAGAUGCUGAUUGUUUGAAAUGCCCGCGAGGGUCUCAAAAGCUGAAGCGAUUGCGGAACAUUCUUAUGUUUAAAUGGAUUGUUAACUCACCCUUGACUUUUGGAAGCUGA
RNAcentral lists this ribosomal RNA (690 nucleotides) under Triticum aestivum (bread wheat). RNAcentral's name for it is "partial small subunit ribosomal RNA". The record is from RNAcentral. Lineage: Eukaryota; Viridiplantae; Streptophyta; Magnoliopsida; Poales; Poaceae.